CAACAGCAAAAUGCAGUGAAAGAGUGCCAGGUAAGGCCAGGUAGACCUAGAUUAUACACUGCACUCUGUGACUUUGAACAAUGGAUUAAUCAUGGUUUCAAAGAAACCAAGACUCUUCCUCCUUGGGAGCAGAAUCAGAGGGAGGAGCACAGGGGACUGAGGUAAUGGUGCACAGGUUCCUUCCAUCUUACUGACAAGAUGACAGCUAAAAGCUGAAAAUUCAAAUUCUAUAUAAGCUUAAUAAUGUCAAGAGAGAGAAACAUGCUUUGUUUUCCCAAAUAACUCCAGGAGAAAGUCUCAGAAAAGCAUAAUUUGUGGGUUGGAACUGAUCAUGUACCCAUGUCUGCACCAGUCAGUGUGGCUUGUAGGAUGGGCUCUUCAAUAUUUGGGGCCACCCUAAGCAAUGUUUCCACUUCUAUGACUGGGGUUUGGAGCAUAGUCAAACCUAUGAAACCCACAUGGAAAAGUGAGCCUGAUAUUCUAAAACAUUUAUUUCAGCCAGUGCCUAUUAUGUCCUUCCCACCAAGUUUGUCUUCACUGAGACUAUUUUGGUCAUGAGCAACAAAAAUAGAAUAAAAUACAU
Molecule: long non-coding RNA, 583 nt
Organism: Talpa occidentalis (Iberian mole)
Lineage: Eukaryota; Metazoa; Chordata; Mammalia; Eulipotyphla; Talpidae
Exons: 3
Source: RefSeq, a predicted model, not a curated record